This 492-nucleotide ribosomal RNA is filed under the name uncultured bacterium. RNAcentral's name for it is "partial 16S ribosomal RNA". It matches the Rfam family "Bacterial small subunit ribosomal RNA", at positions 30 to 507 of the family's 1533-position model. The record is from RNAcentral.
AUUGAACGCUGGCGGCAGGCCUAACACAUGCAAGUCGAGCGGCAGCACAGUGCUUGCUCCUGCAUUCAGCGGCGGACGGGCGGGUAAUGCCUAGGAACCUGCCUAUCAGCGUUUUAUAACGUCCUGACGCGGGCGCUCAUACCCCAAAAGUCCUUACGACGUACGGGGGGGAUCAUCGGACCUUCCGCUCUCGCGCGAUCCUAUGACCCGAUGUCGGAUUAGCUAGUUGACGGGGUAAAGGCCCACCAAGGCGACGAUCCGUAGCUGGUCUGAGAGGAUGAUCAGCCACACUGGAACUGAGACACGGUCCAGACUCCUACGGGAGGCAGCAGUGGGGAAUAUUGGACAAUGGGCGCAAGCCUGAUCCAGCCAUGCCGCGUGUGUGAAGAAGGCCUUCGGAUUGUAAAGCCCUUUUAUUGGGAAAGAAAAGCAGUAAGUUAAUACCUUGCUGUUCUGACGGUACCAAAAGAAUAAGCACCGGCUAACUUCGUG